Long non-coding RNA from Manis pentadactyla (Chinese pangolin), 633 nucleotides. RefSeq lists it as uncharacterized. The transcript is spliced from 3 exons. The record is from RefSeq and is a predicted model, not a curated record. Lineage: Eukaryota; Metazoa; Chordata; Mammalia; Pholidota; Manidae.
UCUCGGCCAGGCUGGCCACAGGGAGAGUGGGGUGUCCUCACUCCGGCGGGCUCAUCCCUCCAGGAUGGACUCUCCCACCCCAGGGUCAGGGGGCCGGCUGGAGGACCAGUGCAACUGAAUUCAGAGUUCCAAACACAGCUCACGACUGAAUUACAGUGGGACCUCAGAGGGGACACAGCAAGAGCGCAGCCAUCUGACACCAGGAGAAGGGCUCUCACUAAGAACCUGACCAUGCUCCCACCCUGAUCGCAGAUGUCCAGCCUCCAGAUAUACAACAAAUACAUGUUUUUGUUUAACCACCCAGUCCGUGGUAUUUUGGUUAUAGCAGCCCAAGCUGACCAAGACUCCUGGACAGGACGAAGAAGAACAAGUAACAAAAAGAAAAAAAAUAGAAAAACUAUUAAAGUCAAACCAAGGAAACUCAAAACAACAGCAGUCCAGAGCCAUUUAACUCAGCGUGCAUGCUCCUGAGACCCUCCCUGGAUUACAGUUACCCACUAGGUCUGCUGAAAACAGAUGCCACCCCCUACACCCUGCCUGUUUACUGCCUCCCCAUCCUCCUCCCUCCCCACACCCUACCCCAAGCCAUUCUGCAAAGAUCAAAUCACUAGUUUAUACACUAAGAAAACACAG